RNAcentral lists this unclassified non-coding RNA (381 nucleotides) under uncultured Myxococcales bacterium. Its description in RNAcentral is "contains 16S-23S intergenic spacer region". Lineage: Bacteria; Pseudomonadati; Myxococcota; Myxococcia; Myxococcales. The record is from RNAcentral.
UCCCCGUUCACCGGGGCAGUCCCCUCAGAGUGCCCGGCAUGACCCGGUAGCAACAGAGGGCGAGGGUUGCGCUCGUUGCGGGACUUAACCCAACAUCUCACGACACGAGCUGACGACAGCCAUGCAGCACCUAACUGCAGGUUCUCCGAAGAGCACUCCGAUCUUUCAACCAGAUUCCUGCACUUUCUAGCCCAGGUAAGGUUCUGCGCGUUGCGUCGAAUUGAACCACAUGCUCCACCGCUUGUGCGGGCCCCCAUCAAUUCCUUUGAGUUUUAGCCUUGCGGCCGUACUCCCCAGACGGGGUGCUUAAUGCGUUAGCUACGGCACCGCAGGGGUCAAAGCCCGCGACACCUAGCACCCAUCGUUUACGGCGUGGACUAC